RNAcentral lists this ribosomal RNA (465 nucleotides) under uncultured bacterium. RNAcentral describes it as "bacterial SSU rRNA". It matches the Rfam family "Bacterial small subunit ribosomal RNA", at positions 338 to 795 of the family's 1533-position model. The record is from RNAcentral.
CCUACGGGUGGCAGCAGUGGGGAAUUUUGGACAAUGGGCGAAAGCCUGAUCCAGCAAUGCCGCGUGUGGGAAGAAGGCCUUCGGGUUGUAAACCACUUUUGUACGGAACGAAACGGUUCGCUUUAAUACAGUGGGCUAAUGACGGUACCGUAAGAAUAAGCACCGGCUAACUACGUGCCAGCAGCCGCGGUAAUACGUAGGGUGCGAGCGUUAAUCGGAAUUACUGGGCGUAAAGCGUGCGCAGGCGGUUAUAUAAGACAGUUGUGAAAUCCCCGGGCUCAACCUGGGAAUUGCAUCUGUGACUGUAUAGCUAGAGUACGGUAGAGGGGGAUGGAAUUCCGCGUGUAGCAGUGAAAUGCGUAGAUAUGCGGAGGAACACCGAUGGCGAAGGCAAUCCCCUGGACCUGUACUGACGCUCAUGCACGAAAGCGUGGGGAGCAAACAGGAUUAGAUACCCAAGUAGUC